GCCCAGCUUCAAGCACAUUAGAUGUGGGUCACAGUGAAAGUGGGACCCUUCUCCGCCGUAAAAAGAGAGCUGCUGCUGAUAGUCCUGGUCGUGAUGGUGGUAGGGGUACAGACUCUCACGCUGAAACAUGAGCGCGUGGGCAGAAGUAGCUUCUGGGUGUGUGGAACAGAUAGUAUCCGCUGCAGAGGUGGUUGCGGCGGCGACGACGGCUGUGCAAAACGUGCUGCUGCCAUUGGUGGAAUUGCCCCAGUCGAAUCUUGAAGAAUUAGGCUCCCAAACAAUAUUGGCAUUUUGGCUUCUGUCUCGAUUGCUGUGAGCAGUGUACAAGUUUGCGCCAUUUUCCAUCUCUAGAACUUGCUUCUCUUUGUACUGCAGUUACGUUGAAUAGGUAGCUUAUUUGCUGUUCUUGAUCAUAAAAAGAUGCCUGCAACGAUUCCAACCAGUAGGGAUCUAUUGGUUGCUUGUAUUAAAAAAGAAAAAAAAUGAGAGAGAGAGAGAGACAAACACAGGGAG
Molecule: unclassified non-coding RNA, 513 nt
Filed under: Hevea brasiliensis (rubber tree)
Lineage: Eukaryota; Viridiplantae; Streptophyta; Magnoliopsida; Malpighiales; Euphorbiaceae
Source: RNAcentral